UAGGGAAUCUUCGGCAAUGGACGAAAGCCUGACCGAGCAACGCCGCGUGCGGGAAGAAGGCCUUCGGAUCGUAAAACUCUGUUGUUAGAGAAGAACAAGGACGUUAGUAACUGAACGUCCCCUGCCGGUAUCUUACCAGAAAGCCACGGCCAACUACGUGCCAGCAGUCGCGGUAAUACGUAGGUGGCAAGCGUUGUCCGGAUUUAUUGGGCGUAAAGCGAGCGCAGGCGGUUUCUUAAGUCUGAUGUGAAAGACCGCGGCUCAACCGGGGAGGGGCAUUGGAAACUGGGGGACUUGAGUGCAGAAGAGGAGGGUGGAAUUCCAGGUGUAGCGGUGAAAUGCGUAGAUAUAUGGAGGAACACCGGUAGCGAAGGCGGCUCUCUGGGCUGUAACUGACGCUGAGGCACGAAAGCGUGGGGAGCAAACAGG
This 429-nucleotide ribosomal RNA is filed under the name Gemmatimonadota bacterium. Its description in RNAcentral is "Gemmatimonadetes bacterium partial 16S ribosomal RNA". It matches the Rfam family "Bacterial small subunit ribosomal RNA", at positions 355 to 776 of the family's 1533-position model. Lineage: Bacteria; Pseudomonadati; Gemmatimonadota. The record is from RNAcentral.